GAUGAACGCUGGCGGCGUGCCUAAUACAUGCAAGUCGAGCGAACAGAUAAGGAGCUUGCUCCUUUGACGUUAGCGGCGGACGGGUGAGUAACACGUGGGUAACCUACCUAUAAGACUGGAAUAACUCCGGGAAACCGGGGCUAAUGCCGGAUAACAUUUAGAACCGCAUGGUUCUAAAGUGAAAGAUGGUUUUGCUAUCACUUAUAGAUGGACCCGCGCCGUAUUAGCUAGUUGGUAAGGUAACGGCUUACCAAGGCAACGAUACGUAGCCGACCUGAGAGGGGGAUCGGCCACACUGGAACUGAGACACGGUCCAGACUCCUACGGGAGGCAGCAGUAGGGAAUCUUCCGCAAUGGGCGAAAGCCUGACGGAGCAACGCCGCGUGAGUGAUGAAGGUCUUCGGAUCGUAAAACUCUGUUAUUAGGGAAGAACAAAUGUGUAAGUAACUGUGCACGUCUUGACGGUACCUAAUCAGAAAGCCACGGCUAACUACGUG
RNAcentral lists this ribosomal RNA (497 nucleotides) under uncultured bacterium. RNAcentral describes it as "partial 16S ribosomal RNA". It matches the Rfam family "Bacterial small subunit ribosomal RNA", at positions 28 to 507 of the family's 1533-position model. The record is from RNAcentral.